AGUAUAGCUUAGUGGAUAGAGUGCUUGCUUAGCAUGCACGAAGCCCUGGGUUCAAAUCCCCAGUACU
This 67-nucleotide transfer RNA is filed under the name Rattus norvegicus (Norway rat). It matches the Rfam family "tRNA". From Rfam's summary of the family: Transfer RNA (tRNA) molecules are approximately 80 nucleotides in length. Their secondary structure includes four short double-helical elements and three loops (D, anti-codon, and T loops). Lineage: Eukaryota; Metazoa; Chordata; Mammalia; Rodentia; Muridae. The record is from Rfam by way of RNAcentral.